AAGGAUCAUUAUUGAAUAAACUUGGUUGGGUUGUUGCUGGCUCUUUGGAGCAAGUGCACACCUGGCGCCAUUUUUACCACCUGUGCACCCUUUGUAGACCUGGAUACCUCUCGAGGAAACUCGGUUUGAGGACUGUUGUGCUAAAAAAAGCCAGCUUUCCUUACAUUUCCGGUCUAUGUCUUUAAUACACCCCAAAAGAAUGUGAUAGAAUGUCAUUAAUUGGCCUUAGUGCCUUUAAAUCAAAUACAACUUUCAACAACGGAUCUCUUGGCUCUC
This 276-nucleotide unclassified non-coding RNA is filed under the name uncultured fungus. RNAcentral describes it as "partial contains 18S rRNA, ITS1, 5.8S rRNA, ITS2 and 28S rRNA". The record is from RNAcentral. Lineage: Eukaryota; Fungi.